CCAAUAGCGUAUAUUAAAGUUGUUGCAGUUAAAAAGCUCGUAGUUGAAUUUCGGGGUUAGUAGGUUGGUCAUGCCUCUGGUAUGUACUGGUCUCACUGAUUCCUCCUUCCUGAUGAACCGUAAUGCCAUUAAUUUGGUGUUGCGGGGAAUUUGGACUGUUACUUUGAAAAAAUUAGAGUGUUUAAAGCAAGCUAACGCUUGAAUACAUUAGCAUGGAAUAAUGAAAUAGGACGAUCGAUCCUAUUUUGUUGGUUUCUAGGAUUGACGUAAUGAUUAAUAGGGAUAGUUGGGGGCAUUAGUAUUCAAUUGUCAGAGGUGAAAUUCUUGGAUUUAUUGAAGACUAACUACUGCGAAAGCAUUUGCCAAGGAUGUUUUCAUUAAUCAAGAACGAAAGUUAGGGGAUCGAAGACGAUCAGAUACCGUCGUAGUCUUAACCAUAAACUAUGCCGACUAGGGAUCGGAUGAUGUUAAUUUUUUAAUGACUCAUUCGGCGCCUUACG
This 500-nucleotide unclassified non-coding RNA is filed under the name uncultured Glomus. RNAcentral's name for it is "SSU rRNA". It matches the Rfam family "Eukaryotic small subunit ribosomal RNA", at positions 591 to 1092 of the family's 1831-position model. Lineage: Eukaryota; Fungi; Glomeromycota; Glomeromycetes; Glomerales; Glomeraceae. The record is from RNAcentral.